RNAcentral lists this ribosomal RNA (316 nucleotides) under uncultured Pelotomaculum sp. RNAcentral's name for it is "bacterial SSU rRNA". It matches the Rfam family "Bacterial small subunit ribosomal RNA", at positions 1067 to 1382 of the family's 1533-position model. Lineage: Bacteria; Bacillati; Bacillota; Clostridia; Eubacteriales; Desulfotomaculaceae. The record is from RNAcentral.
GUGAGAUGUUGGGUUAAGUCCCGCAACCGAGCGCAACCCUACGUUUAGUUGCUAACGCGUGAAGGCGAGCACUCUAGACGAACUGCCGUUGACAAAACGGAGGAAGGUGGGGAUGACGUCAAAUCAUCAUGCCCCUUAUGUUCUGGGCUACACACGUGCUACAAUGGCCGGUACAGACGGACGCAAAGCCGCGAGGUGGAGCAAAUCCUAAAAAGCCGGUCUCAGUUCGGAUUGCAGGCUGCAAUUCGCCUGCAUGAAGUCGGAAUCGCUAGUAAUCGCAGGUCAGCAUACUGCGGUGAAUACGUUCCCGGGCCUU